RNAcentral lists this long non-coding RNA (576 nucleotides) under Homo sapiens (human). Its description in RNAcentral is "HSALNT0070407". Lineage: Eukaryota; Metazoa; Chordata; Mammalia; Primates; Hominidae. The record is from RNAcentral.
AGGCAGGGGCAGCAGAAGAUUGAUGUAACCAGGCAUCCUCAGGUGAUGAGAUAAAAAGAAACAUAAUUCACAUCAACUCUCACAGAGUGACGGUGGUAAAGGAGUGCACAGAAUUUUUUUCUUCUCAUAGAAAAAGGAGUAGAUCAUUGAAGUUUAGGAAACACUGUGGUGUUACGGGGAGAGUAAUGGGAGUCGUGAAUGUGGAAAUACAGAGAGAAAAUGAGUGAGAAAGAGAACAGGAAAAGUGGCAGGACUCGGUUGCUGCAGCUUCAGUAGAGGACGUGAAGCUUGAAAAAAUAAGGACUGAGACCAGGCAGGGGAGACCUGAGGAGCGGCUGCAGCCGGCAUGCUUCUCAAGACGUCCCUGCCCACAGAAGCUGACAAACCCAAGCAGACAAAUUUGGAGUUCAAGUAAGAGAAUGAUUCAAAAAUGGACCAAAACUGAGGCCUGUCCUUAAUUACUCAUAGUGAGAAGAUGUAACCACUCCUUGGGGAGGAGGAUGGGCAGUGAGCACUCAACUCCUGUGUUGUAUCUAUCGAGGUGAACUAUGUGCUGGCCUAACUUGCCUGUUCAAG